RNAcentral lists this transfer RNA (81 nucleotides) under Acinetobacter baumannii. RNAcentral describes it as "tRNA-Phe". It matches the Rfam family "tRNA". From Rfam's summary of the family: Transfer RNA (tRNA) molecules are approximately 80 nucleotides in length. Their secondary structure includes four short double-helical elements and three loops (D, anti-codon, and T loops). The record is from RNAcentral. Lineage: Bacteria; Pseudomonadati; Pseudomonadota; Gammaproteobacteria; Moraxellales; Moraxellaceae.
GGCGUGAUAGCUCAGUUGGUAGAGCAACGGAUUGAAAAUNNAAUCCGUGUGUCCCCAGUUCGAUCCUGGGUCUCGCCACCA